This 770-nucleotide ribosomal RNA is filed under the name uncultured bacterium. Its description in RNAcentral is "bacterial SSU rRNA". It matches the Rfam family "Bacterial small subunit ribosomal RNA", at positions 67 to 833 of the family's 1533-position model. The record is from RNAcentral.
CGGUAACAUUUUCUAGCUUGCUAGAAGAUGACGAGUGGCGGACGGGUGAGUAAUGCUUGGGAACUUGCCUUUGCGAGGGGGAUAACAGUUGGAAACGACUGCUAAUACCGCAUAAUGUCUACGGACCAAACGGGGCUUCGGCUCCGGCGCAAAGAGAGGCCCAAGUGAGAUUAGCUAGUUGGUAAGGUAAAGGCUUACCAAGGCAACGAUCUCUAGCUGUUCUGAGAGGAAGAUCAGCCACACUGGAACUGAGACACGGUCCAGACUCCUACGGGAGGCAGCAGUGGGGAAUAUUGCACAAUGGGGGAAACCCUGAUGCAGCCAUGCCGCGUGUGUGAAGAAGGCCUUCGGGUUGUAAAGCACUUUCAGUUGUGAGGAAAAGUUAGUAGUUAAUACCUGCUAGCCGUGACGUUAACAACAGAAGAAGCACCGGCUAACUCCGUGCCAGCAGCCGCGGUAAUACGGAGGGUGCGAGCGUUAAUCGGAAUUACUGGGCGUAAAGCGCACGCAGGCGGUUUGUUAAGCUAGAUGUGAAAGCCCCGGGCUCAACCUGGGAUGGUCAUUUAGAACUGGCAGACUAGAGUCUUGGAGAGGGGAGUGGAAUUCCAGGUGUAGCGGUGAAAUGCGUAGAUAUCUGGAGGAACAUCAGUGGCGAAGGCGACUCCCUGGCCAAAGACUGACGCUCAUGUGCGAAAGUGUGGGUAGCGAACAGGAUUAGAUACCCUGGUAGUCCACACCGUAAACGCUGUCUACUAGCUGUGUGUGCCUUU